Drosophila miranda is the source of this 1861-nucleotide long non-coding RNA. RefSeq lists it as uncharacterized. The record is from RefSeq and is a predicted model, not a curated record. NCBI's taxonomy places the organism in Eukaryota, Metazoa, Arthropoda, Insecta, Diptera, Drosophilidae. The transcript has 3 exons.
AUUUUUGCCACCAGUCGAGGGGCCAGAGCUCACACAGACAGUGGCACAGAGAGAGAGAGAGAGAGAGAGAGUGAGGCAGGUAGAAGAGGCACAUCCACAUCCUGCUCUGCUCUGUCAGAGCUUGUCCUUUUGUUUCGGCUCCUGCAGCAUUGGCUGCACAAAGUCAACAUAAUCCAGAGAGCCCUGGCCCCUCCCGGGCCAGCCAGUGCUGGCCCUCGCUCCGGCAUCAGGCUUCAAAAAUCCCAAUGUGGUCGGCGCUGUGGCUCAUUAAUCCAUGCAGUCGAAUGGUAGACGCAGACCCUCCACAUGGCCUGUUUUUGCUUUGCUUUCCUUCAGUUUCUGGUCUCCACAUCUAUCCAUCUACUCUCAAAAGCAAGCUGUGUUGUGGGAGCCGAGACCCAUAAAUCAGACGCCUGCGGGCAGUUCAUCAUCAUCACCAUCCUCGUCGUGGUCUCAGCCCCAUUCCCAUCCCCAGACCCAUCCAUAGCCCCAGCUGGACUCGCAAAUUAGUUGCGUAGCGCGCAUGAAUGUCACCAUUUUUCUCGCUCAAUUUGCUACGCAAAUUAUAAACACCAAAUGGAAAUUGUAAUCCAAAAACCAGAAGCAGAAUACUGAACUUCCCAGACGUUUAGCUACCCUUCAGUGACGGACUGGACGAGGAAUGUCCUGUAUCAAGGCCAUUCGAAUGUACCCCCAGCAAAGGUCGCAGCCGCAGCCGCAGCUUUAAGCAGCCUCGAGGCCAGAGCUGAAGCUGGAGCUCUCUCUCCACAGCCAAAAUAUAAUAAAAUUCGCAUAAAAAUCAUUUCGAAGCAGCUUCAGCUCCUUAGCUCUUCAGCUGCUUUCCCACCGAAGAAGAAGAUAUGUAUGGUCUGAGCCAAGCUGCUUAAAAUUUUGAAAAUGCUUCGUUUUCUUGCACUGUCGUCCACUGUGCAGGAAGACACUGAGCCUGGAUGUCACCCACUGUCUACCCACUCACCCACGGCCUGCAGUUGUCUGGCAAGCAGCCCAGAAGUUGGUUUCUGCAGUCGGAUGAAGUUGGCUCUGCUAAAUGGCCAACGGACUGGCUGGAUGUCUGAUGGCUGAAUGGCUGGUUGGCUGGUUGGCUGGCUGACCAGUCCAUGAUGUCGCGCCUAUCACAACCAAUUUACUAACGAAGCAGAUAAAUCCAAUUUCUGGCCGACAGCAGCUAAGCUGCUUGAAAAAAUACUGCUUGAAAAAAAAAGAAGAAAAAAAGAGGGCAGCACUUCCUGGCUGGAGACAAUUUCCGCUUCCGCUUGGAUUGACCGGCGCCUGGAAUGGACUCAACCCCGAUACCAUGUCGUGGGCGAAUCUUGGUUUAUUAAGCUGAUCAUCAGGUUUAUUAGCGUUUAGCACUAGGCCAAGGCUCUCCUCAAGAGUGGUCACCAAUUAGGGUGCUUUGUCCUGCCACGAUUUCUUUGAUGUCUUUGUGUGUGAAAACUUUCGAUUCGACGUUAAAUUAAUUAGAUGAAAUAAUUACACAGUCCCCCCGGAAGUGGGUGACUCUCUGGCCCGACUCUCAAAGGAAGCACUCAGGCAGAUUGGAAUGCGGUUGCUCAGAUGAAUUCCUGCUCAACUUGAGAAACACCUUUGUGUCUCUUUCUCUCUCAAUACCUUAGUGCACUACAAAGGCACUACGAAGUGCACUCUUUUUGAACACAGCCACAGCCGCAGGGGGCAACAGCAAAAGGAUGGAUGCUCCGAACACGACUCCGGAGCAUUUUAAUCUACAAUUGAGGCUUGCAACAGAGGCUUCUCCCAAGACAUCUGCUCGGUCAGUAAAGACAUUUUAAUUUGUUUUUUGGUAAUUCAGUACAGUUUGGGCUUUCAUUUUGAUUUUAAG